This 384-nucleotide ribosomal RNA is filed under the name uncultured archaeon. Its description in RNAcentral is "bacterial SSU rRNA". It matches the Rfam family "Archaeal small subunit ribosomal RNA", at positions 192 to 576 of the family's 1478-position model. The record is from RNAcentral.
UACUCCGGUGCCCAAGGAUGGGUCUGCGGCCUAUCAGGUAGUAGUGGGUGUAACGUACCUACUAGCCAGCGACGGGUAAGGGUUGCGAGAGCAAGAGCCCUGAGAUGGAUUCUGAGACAUGAAUCCAGGCCCUACGGGGUGCAGCAGGCGCGAAAACUUUACACUGCGGGAAACCGCGAUAAGGGGACCCCGAGUGCCAGCACCUAGUGCUGGCUGUCCAGCUGUCCAAAUAACAGUUGUUAGCAAGGGCCGGGCAAGACCGGUGCCAGCCGCCGCGGUAACACCGGCGGCCCGAGUGGUAGCCGUUAUUAUUGGGUUUAAAGGGUCCGUAGCCGGCCUGUUAAGUCUCUUGGGAAAUCUGGCGACUCAAUCGUCAGGCGUUCA